CAUGACUCUGGCAGUAUUACGUCCACCAAACUCAUUUGGUGGGCUAACAUAAGAGGAGACCACACCAAGAUUGCCUCACUUGUAACAAACUGAGACUCAAUUUAUUGAUUAUACAGUCCAAAAUAAUCAAUAAAUUAUCAGAAAUAAAAUCUGAAAAGGAAUAUCUGAAGAUAAUAUCUAAAAUAAGAAACUGAAGCCAGGUUAAUUAAAAACUCGUGACUAACCAAAGUAAACCAUACAAUACAAUCCAAACCAAGUGAGGAUCUUAGGAGGGAGAAAGAGAAUGCUGCAUGUGUGGCAGCAGGCAGCAAUCAAGCCAACCCAACCACAAACACCUGCAGAAGAUCUCACUCCAAAGCCUUGGGGGAAAAGCAGCAGAGAGAAACUGGAGGCCUUACCAGGCAGAAAUUCAAUCCAACCUCAUUGACAUAAAACAGUUUUCUCUUGUGAAAACACACACACACUCGCACAGUGUCAAACAUUGGGGUCCAAAAUCCUACCCAUGCAGUGCAGCAAGGCAGCAACCCGCCAAGCAGUGAUGGAAGACCUUGGGUGUUAGCCUUGGCGUCAGCAGGAGAAAUGUGGCCUAGGAGCAGUAUCUCGGGGACCACCGCCCUAGGAACUUAAAAGUGCACCUGUAAUUUGUGAUGGAAACUUCUUCUCAAGGAAGUGAGCAACUACGGUGGCUUGGCAGUAACACACCAGACAUUAGAGUCCGGUCACGUCUUCAUCCAAACCUCCACACAAAAGAAAUGAUCUUUCUUCCAGAUGUAGAGCAACAAUGAAAAGCCCAACACCAGAUAAGGGUCAAAGAAAGGGAGGUCUCAUUGAUCAAUUCCAGACUAGAAGUGGCUGCCUGGUCUGGGGAGCAUCUCAUUAUCUGUGAUGCAAAACAGCUGAAGACACAGCACACUCUCACCUUUAGGGUCAACGUGGUAAAUGACCAUGAAAGCCCCUGAAAACAGCUGAUGUGCACAUAGUCAAUAGUGAUAUUAUGCUUGACUAGUAUGCAGGGCCUUGGAAAAAUAUUUACAUUUUGUCACGUUCCAACCACAAACUUUGCUUCGUCACAGCUUCUGUGAGAACAAAAGGUACUUUAAAAUAGGUAGUUAAAAAAAGAAAUUUAAAUGUUUUUGGGAAUCAAAGUCUAAAGAUUUUGGUAAUGGCAUUUGUACUCUUGCUCUGAUAAUUGUAAAUAAAAUUCAGGACAAAUUUCUAAAA
Molecule: long non-coding RNA, 1221 nt
Organism: Gambusia affinis (western mosquitofish)
Lineage: Eukaryota; Metazoa; Chordata; Actinopteri; Cyprinodontiformes; Poeciliidae
Exons: 4
Source: RefSeq, a predicted model, not a curated record